This is a long non-coding RNA of Daphnia magna, 2860 nucleotides long. RefSeq lists it as uncharacterized. The record is from RefSeq and is a predicted model, not a curated record. The transcript has 11 exons. NCBI's taxonomy places the organism in Eukaryota, Metazoa, Arthropoda, Branchiopoda, Diplostraca, Daphniidae.
CGAAAUAUCUUUCCCCUUCAAAUGUUUUAAAUGUGUCUUAACGUUUUAAUAUUUUUUUUGCUUUCAUGGCCUCACACAAAUAAUUCAAGUAAAAACAAUGAAUUGGUGGUGUUUACUAUUUCGUAUGGGUGAAAGGUAUUGUUCAAACAGUUCAUUGAUAUUUUGACUUAAAAGGGGUAAAUUUUAUUUGACCAAUGUGCUGAAUAAUUGUGCCUUUCAUACGUAAUGUUUUCGUAGGCCUUUGAUGGCAACCGAGUGCACGCCCAGGUGAUGAUGGAAUUGCAUGUCACUGCAAGCGCUGAAUAGUGUCGUUGUUAAUAAUUGACUGCUACGACUAUGUUGGUGUGUAACGCAACCCAUUUUUUCUCGCCCAAUCGCAACCGCUUUCAGCAGAUUUUGUAUCACGCCAUGCUCGAAUAGCAGAAUAGGAGACGACAGUUUCACGAAAGUAUCAAACUAUCCAAAACUAACAGCAGCAUUUCCUUCAUCGCAUUUUCAUUCAGAAUUAUUCUGUAACAUUAAAGCACAUCACUCAUGAACAACAAUAAAAAUUCAACAAAAAUAUGAAUGUCACGCCAACUGAUUUGUAUUUGGAUAGAUGGCGCCACAAGGCGACAAUUGGUAAACAGCCGGUAGUCGCUACAGACGAAAUCUGUACUAUGACAGAAGUAAAAGUCAGAGUCAUAGCUCAUAUAGGUCAUACCUCUGAGGUUUUUUCUUUUGCUACAAUGAAAUUUGCCGCUUUUCAUUCCAACUCAAAGCUUCGCCUUUCUCCCGGUUACUUACGGAACGCCGUUUGACCCACUUUUUAAUUGACAACUCUUUUUCGAUAGUUGUCCGUUUAUUUAGCAAAUAAAUAGAUAAUUUGUACUGCCAUCUAGCGGUCAAAAAAAUCACUUGAAUGAGUGAUUUCAAUAGACGACGCCUUCAAGGGAGGAGGAGUCAACGACAGAUUGUUUUGUAUUCGUCGAUCGAUUAUUAUGCCGUUGCAACCAGCAGUCCAGCACCUCCAGCAGUUUCACCAACUAUUUUGUUUGAGGGUAGCACAUAGCAGCAAAAAUGGAGGUCUUCAGAUAUGGAAAUUUUUCUGCUGCUUCAUGCAACACUAUAUUUACAUUGUUGCUUAAAAUCUUUCAAAAUCUUGUAAGUAGCUUGGGGGAAACCUGAUCUGGUAGACAUCGCACCACGCUUUGGAAUAUUGGAAAUAAUUUAAUUGAGAGCAUCGCGUUAAUUUUGGUUUGACUACCAGGCAUUUGGGAUGCUUUUAAUGUGGUGUGUUGGCAAGGACAUCUACAUUCUGUGGUAGUGAGUGAUGCCACAAGAAGCCUGUCUUUUUUCACGAAGAAGUUGAGCUUUAAAUAUCGGCAAGACUCCUUUGAUGAAUAAUAAGGGUUAAGGGGUUAUGGGGUUUCCCUUCUAUGUAGGGAAAAACCAAUUAAUUAUCGGCGCUUUGUAAGAUACGGCAAUGAUGCACGGUCUUCCGGUCCAUCAGCUGAGAGUCAAACCACAUUGGAUUUAGGAGCUAUUUUCAUCAUCCAGGAAUUAUUAUCACCUUGCUCUUAGACAGGAACCUGAAGCCUGAACAGUAUUAAGGCUGGAAUGUUAAGUACUCAUCCGUGGGUGGAAAUCUAAUUGACAAAUGUUCAAAUUGGCCAAAUAUCUUGAGACAGAAAAAACAUAGCAUAAGUUUUGCAAAAAGGAAAAAGGAGCUUCUGGCAAGACUGUUCGACAAAAAAGUCUGGAUUAGUUAAAACAAAAGUUUAGGGUGAAACUAAAUGUAACUUUCACUUCAGAAAGUUAAAACCUGAAAUACCCCUAAAUUAUUUUAUUGUUUUCUUUAAGUAAAUUGAAACAUAAAUUGAUAACUCUUUUUGUUUUUGCCACCAAUUAAUCUUGUUCUUUAGGGUACCCUAUGUUGAACUGUGUUGCUGAUGAAACAUCCCCUUAAAGACUUCCUUAAAGAUGAAGUAAGAGCCUUAGGUCGCUAGCUCGAUCUGCUCGCAGAAUUACUAGAACGUCAUAUUCGUGCAUUGUAAAAAAAAAAGGCGUUCAUUCCCUUCAACCAAUUGUUAACCCGCGAGGUCUCGUAGGAAUCUCCCUUACGCCACUUUAAUUGUAGCUGACAGUGACUGUAAUUAUGGCCCAAUUAACCCAUGGUUAUCAAGAGCUGCCCUCUUGGUUCUCCGACAUAGAAACUUCCAUCGUCAAAAGCUUCCAGGUUUGUUAUGGUCGUAGAACAGCAGACGACGGAGGUGAGGAAGUAACGAAACAAAUAAGAAAUUCAUAUAUUUCGUUUGAAGUACGUACUACUCGAUUUGAACAGUUGGCGGCGGAAUUUUACCAUCGGGCAGAACCCAAUCGGUCGAAGCAUUGAAAAUGUCGGACCACUGUUGAUGAAUUUUCACCAGCACUCUUCCACAAGACGGACGCGAAGCAAACGAUGGCGAAAGAGAUAUGGACUUGAAUUGGUUGUUUACAACCCAUGGCUAUUCCUCACUCCAGGAUUAGUAUUAUACACCUUUUGCACUUUUCAGAGCGUUCGGAAACGAAAUUUGUUGCUAAUGGGUUUGCUGUUGACAAGCAAGGGAAGGAUUUGAAUUUUUACUGAACUAGACAGGAAUGAAAUUUUUUGUGGCUGGUUUUGUUGUUGACAAGCAAGGAAAGGAUUUUUUUACCACAGUAGACAGGAUAUUUAUUCUAAAUCCCACAAUGUGCUGACUACAAAUCGUAAUGAAUUAGAAUAGGAUUUUGACUGAGGCUGGGUGCUAAAACAAUUAAUUGGAAGCGCGAUUGGAAAUAUCCAUGAUUUAUUAACGUUAUCCCAUGUUACGGUAUUUUAUUAAAGACAAAUUGAAGUGCA